UACGUAGGUGGCGAGCGUUGUCCGGAUUUAUUGGGCGUAAAGCGAGCGCAGGUGGUUUAUUAAGUCUGGUGUAAAAGGCAGUGGCUCAACCAUUGUAUGCAUUGGAAACUGGUAGACUUGAGUGCAGGAGAGGAGAGUGGAAUUCCAUGUGUAGCGGUGAAAUGCGUAGAUAUAUGGAGGAACACCGGUGGCGAAAGCGGCUCUCUGGCCUGUAACUGACACUGAGGCUCGAAAGCGUGGGGAUCAAACAGG
Molecule: ribosomal RNA, 252 nt
Filed under: uncultured bacterium
Lineage: Bacteria
Description: partial 16S ribosomal RNA
Rfam family: Bacterial small subunit ribosomal RNA
Source: RNAcentral